GCCAGCAACAAAAAAAAACACCACAAUACACACACAACCAACAAGGCCUCCACCAUCCUCAAGUCACCAGAUCCCAGCACCUAGCAGUAGCAGCAGCACUUCUCUCUCUCACUCACACAGCCAGCAGAGAACCCUACGUCUCAGCACCUUCCUCCCUUCUUUUUUUUUGUUUUUCCCUCUCACCAGCACCCACACGGGCCUCUGUUCUUCACCAAAACCGCACGAAGCCUUAGCUGUUCUUCACCAGCACGGCACGAAGCCGCAGACCGGCACCCGCACAGAGCCGAGCCAACCUGGCGCACCUCCUCCUCGCUCAGGCCCGCAGCCCGCCGCGGCCUCCUUCUCCUCGCGCGGGCACGGCGCACCUCCUCCUCGCUCGGACCCGCAGACCACCGCGGCCUCCGUGCGGGCACGCGAGCCAGGCCGCCGCCGCACCCUCUGCGUGCGCGGGUACGCGAACCACGCGGCCACUGCCCAGGCCGCAGCCGCACCCUCGCGCGACCGCUUGCCUGUGCUUCGUGCCGCCGCACGCCGGCGCUCAGCUCAGCUCCACGCGCCGCCGUCGCCGGUAACCCUAACCCUUACUCUUGGCUCUGAAUACCAUGAUGGAAUUGGGGAAGACUCACUCUUGGGUGUGCCAACAGCACACCUCUUCUCUAUUCAUUCCUUCUCACUUUUACAUAGUAGUCCUCACCAACAGAAGGAAAUCAAGAAAGUUAUGAUCCGAUAAUUUCGUAAACAUUGUUUCAUCAAUGAAUUCUUUAGUCGAAUAAAAAAUCUGUGAUAGGUCAGCUAUGGAAUUUUCGUUUCUCAUGUAUGUGGCCUUGUGAAUUGCAAAGAUUGAUAAAUGCAAGUUACACUAAUGCAGCAGUGGUGACUGGUGACAAUAGCAGACCACCAGCGGAAGACACAUCGGAGAACUCCUGCCUAGCCCAAGAGAUCCAUGAUGUCAAUGACUCACUGCCUCGUGUAUUAUUUACGUACUUAGAUACCUUAAUUUUUUUAUACAACUUAGUAUUAUUUGGAUAUGGUCUCCUCAGAUCCCAAGUUUCCAACAAUGGUUAGUAUUGCUAAUUUGCUGUACUUUUAACAGAUCUUCAUGGGGGUUAAGCACUUGCUCUUGCCUGCUCCAACAGCUUAAGUAGCCUUUUGCCUGCUCGAGCAGUUUAAGGAAUGAGAACGGACUAGUGCAUGAAAAUAACAUACAUACAAAGCCUGCCUAUCAGUUACAGUCUGUAAGCUUCUUAUGGCUAUCAAUCUCGGCGGACGGUGGGAGGCACAGACGGCGGCUGCAGCCAGCGGCGGUCGCGCGGCGCGGAGGUCCGUUGAGGCAGGGGCCUAGACCGGUGCACAAAUCGGUGGAGAGGAGGCAGCAAUUGUUCAAUGCUAGAUGGAAUUUUCAGUGCCCCGCCGCCCGCUAGUGUUGCCCGCACGAUCACCCUCCGCAGUCCACUCCCCGAGUCCCCAGCCGGUCACCGCCACUCCGUCCAGCACGAAGGCACAUCACGCCUGCCUUCUCCUUGUUUAUAUGUGCUCCAUAGUUGGUUUCAGUGCUUACAGCUUGGUGAAUUAGGAGGUGUUUUUCUUGCCGCUCCUUUCAUGUGCAGAGCUGCGUUGGUGAGCAAGGUACUGAUUUAUGAUGGUUUUAGGACUUGGUAGCAUGAUGGAAUGUGUUGGCAAGUAGCCGGUUAGUGGUGAACAGAGCAGAUCAUGUCGCAUAACUGGCUGCUGCACCAGGAUCAACGCUAGCUCGUAGCUCCUCCAAGGGAGCACAUCCGACAUGUCUGACAUGUGCUUGACAAAAUGCAAGAGGGGAUUAUUGUUGAGCACACUUGAUAUAAGUUGACUGAAGCAUUUGUAGCAUCGUUUGGUAUGAUAUUUCUUUCUCUUAGCAAUCAUCUUCAAAAAAAAACGGUCACUGUAUGAAUUGUUUGUUUAGACAUCUUGUUUCAUCUUGAAAAAAAAUGUUCUUAUUUUGUGGGCUUUCUGUGGCAGAGAUUUAAUUCCUCCUGAGUAUAAUCUUUGUUAGCUGAGGUUUGCUUUUCACAUAAAGUUGUGAUGCUUAUGUGACAGAGGAAGAGAGAGAAAGUGCUUGUGGUGGAAUGCAGGGGCCAUGAUGCAGCUUGAUUGCAUGAGUAAGUAUUGCUCAUUAGAGUUCAUAGCUCAGUUUAGUGUUUAGUGCUUGAAUUUGCCUUUUCUCGCAUAAUGUCGGAUACUUUUGUCACUGGUAUGGGAGGAUCUGCAUAAAUUCCUGUCAGAAUACAUGAAUUGGGAGGAACUGCAUAAAUUCCCACCUUCUAUUAACCUGCAUUGGAGAAGGAGACCUCACUGGACUAGGAGAAGUAAAUGAAGGCGAACAACAACAUUCCCGGAGAAGUUGAGCGCCUUGACAAUUUGCAGUUCAAAUAUUUUCUUGGGGAACUAUAUGGUGAUAAUUCACUAAGAACCAUGCCCCCCCCCCCCCUCUUUGGUCUGCCUAACCCCGUCUCUGAUACUAAUGUGCCAUCAAGUGGGCCUCCCUUGUGUGAUGCAUUGUGGACUACUCCCUCACAACUGGUAACCGCGCUGCGGCCGCCUCCCCCUUCCUCUUGUUGCUCCCCUCUCGCUAUCUCUGAAUUGUCUUUUUCUUUAUACAUUCCUGAAUAAUGUGUUUCAGAGUUAUUUUUGUCAUACUUUAUUAAUAUUUAUAAAAAACGGUUAACUAACAUCAACCUCAAAAUGUUAUAUUUUUUCAUGCUCCUCUUAUUGCCUCAGCAGGUGUACUUCUUGAAAAUUACUUAAGGCAACGUUGGAUUAAGAAUAGAGCAAUAGCAUUUCCUUAAAAAACGCAAGAAGUAGCGUCCCACACUCACCGUGCAUACCCCAUGCCACGCCUGGUUUGCUGUUACCAAAAAGUCAAAAACAUGAGAAGCAACGUCCGUCCUCUGCUCACCAGCCCUGUGCUACACCUUGCUCUGGACAGCCCGCCCAGUCUCUCGGACACCAGAUUGGAGCAGCUCAGUCAUCCGCAGUGUCACAUUCUCCCUGAUCAGAUCCUCAACACGCCCGUCUGGUACUCUGCCAAUGGCAGUACUUCACCAAUAUCACUACCCUCUUCAUCAUCGAGCUCAUCCAAUCAAAUUGCUCUAAACGUACGGGCACUCAACUAUGAGUCCAAAACGCUCGUUUUUGGUGGUGGAACUUGAGUGGAACCGGAUGCUGCACGGCGCGGCCAGCACGCGACAGCGCAAUCCGACCUGAAAUGCCAGGGUCUGAGCGACGGGGCGAGUGGCGCGGCGUGCGCGACUUGGCGACGACCUGGCCAAACUUCUGCCCCAGCACAGAUGCCUGUGGAGACCAGCUGACGCGCCCGCCGGGGAGCUGGGCUCGUCUUCGUUCUCUGCGUGUCGGCCAACAACCAACUGGCACGAUCUGUUUCUUGUACUACAGCUCUACUAGUUCACUCUGGGCAUCAAAUACUUAAAACCGAGAACCAGACCGAAUUUACCAAGAACCGAAUGAAAUUACCGAAAUCAAAAAAUUCGGUUCUCUGUUCGGUACCUAGUUCUCAGAAACCAAAUUUACCGACGUAUAUUCGGUUCUGUACCUCAGUAAACCGAAGUACCGAACUAGUACCGAAUAUGUCUACUAGCAAUAUGUAAUAUUGUUGAUUGAUCUAUCAUAGACAAUUAUGUUACAUAUUUGUAUUAAUAUACUCCUAUUAUAUUAUGGCUUUUUAUAUGUA
Sorghum bicolor (sorghum) is the source of this 3724-nucleotide long non-coding RNA. RefSeq lists it as uncharacterized. Lineage: Eukaryota; Viridiplantae; Streptophyta; Magnoliopsida; Poales; Poaceae. The transcript has 3 exons. The record is from RefSeq and is a predicted model, not a curated record.